RNAcentral lists this ribosomal RNA (2903 nucleotides) under Escherichia coli. RNAcentral's name for it is "23S ribosomal RNA". It matches the Rfam family "Bacterial large subunit ribosomal RNA". Lineage: Bacteria; Pseudomonadati; Pseudomonadota; Gammaproteobacteria; Enterobacterales; Enterobacteriaceae. The record is from RNAcentral.
GGUUAAGCGACUAAGCGUACACGGUGGAUGCCCUGGCAGUCAGAGGCGAUGAAGGACGUGCUAAUCUGCGAUAAGCGUCGGUAAGGUGAUAUGAACCGUUAUAACCGGCGAUUUCCGAAUGGGGAAACCCAGUGUGAUUCGUCACACUAUCAUUAACUGAAUCCAUAGGUUAAUGAGGCGAACCGGGGGAACUGAAACAUCUAAGUACCCCGAGGAAAAGAAAUCAACCGAGAUUCCCCCAGUAGCGGCGAGCGAACGGGGAGGAGCCCAGAGCCUGAAUCAGUGUGUGUGUUAGUGGAAGCGUCUGGAAAGGCGCGCGAUACAGGGUGACAGCCCCGUACACAAAAAUGCACAUGCUGUGAGCUCGAUGAGUAGGGCGGGACACGUGGUAUCCUGUCUGAAUAUGGGGGGACCAUCCUCCAAGGCUAAAUACUCCUGACUGACCGAUAGUGAACCAGUACCGUGAGGGAAAGGCGAAAAGAACCCCGGCGAGGGGAGUGAAAAAGAACCUGAAACCGUGUACGUACAAGCAGUGGGAGCACGCUUCGGCGUGUGACUGCGUACCUUUUGUAUAAUGGGUCAGCGACUUAUAUUCUGUAGCAAGGUUAACCGAAUAGGGGAGCCGAAGGGAAACCGAGUCUUAACUGGGCGUUAAGUUGCAGGGUAUAGACCCGAAACCCGGUGAUCUAGCCAUGGGCAGGUUGAAGGUUGGGUAACACUAACUGGAGGACCGAACCGACUAAUGUUGAAAAAUUAGCGGAUGACUUGUGGCUGGGGGUGAAAGGCCAAUCAAACCGGGAGAUAGCUGGUUCUCCCCGAAAGCUAUUUAGGUAGCGCCUCGUGAAUUCAUCUCCGGGGGUAGAGCACUGUUUCGGCAAGGGGGUCAUCCCGACUUACCAACCCGAUGCAAACUGCGAAUACCGGAGAAUGUUAUCACGGGAGACACACGGCGGGUGCUAACGUCCGUCGUGAAGAGGGAAACAACCCAGACCGCCAGCUAAGGUCCCAAAGUCAUGGUUAAGUGGGAAACGAUGUGGGAAGGCCCAGACAGCCAGGAUGUUGGCUUAGAAGCAGCCAUCAUUUAAAGAAAGCGUAAUAGCUCACUGGUCGAGUCGGCCUGCGCGGAAGAUGUAACGGGGCUAAACCAUGCACCGAAGCUGCGGCAGCGACACUAUGUGUUGUUGGGUAGGGGAGCGUUCUGUAAGCCUGUGAAGGUGGCCUGUGAGGGUGGCUGGAGGUAUCAGAAGUGCGAAUGCUGACAUAAGUAACGAUAAAGCGGGUGAAAAGCCCGCUCGCCGGAAGACCAAGGGUUCCUGUCCAACGUUAAUCGGGGCAGGGUGAGUCGACCCCUAAGGCGAGGCCGAAAGGCGUAGUCGAUGGGAAACAGGUUAAUAUUCCUGUACUUGGUGUUACUGCGAAGGGGGGACGGAGAAGGCUAUGUUGGCCGGGCGACGGUUGUCCCGGUUUAAGCGUGUAGGCUGGUUUUCCAGGCAAAUCCGGAAAAUCAAGGCUGAGGCGUGAUGACGAGGCACUACGGUGCUGAAGCAACAAAUGCCCUGCUUCCAGGAAAAGCCUCUAAGCAUCAGGUAACAUCAAAUCGUACCCCAAACCGACACAGGUGGUCAGGUAGAGAAUACCAAGGCGCUUGAGAGAACUCGGGUGAAGGAACUAGGCAAAAUGGUGCCGUAACUUCGGGAGAAGGCACGCUGAUAUGUAGGUGAAGUCCCUCGCGGAUGGAGCUGAAAUCAGUCGAAGAUACCAGCUGGCUGCAACUGUUUAUUAAAAACACAGCACUGUGCAAACACGAAAGUGGACGUAUACGGUGUGACGCCUGCCCGGUGCCGGAAGGUUAAUUGAUGGGGUCAGCGCAAGCGAAGCUCUUGAUCGAAGCCCCGGUAAACGGCGGCCGUAACUAUAACGGUCCUAAGGUAGCGAAAUUCCUUGUCGGGUAAGUUCCGACCUGCACGAAUGGCGUAAUGAUGGCCAGGCUGUCUCCACCCGAGACUCAGUGAAAUUGAACUCGCUGUGAAGAUGCAGUGUACCCGCGGCAAGACGGAAAGACCCCGUGAACCUUUACUAUAGCUUGACACUGAACAUUGAGCCUUGAUGUGUAGGAUAGGUGGGAGGCUUUGAAGUGUGGACGCCAGUCUGCAUGGAGCCGACCUUGAAAUACCACCCUUUAAUGUUUGAUGUUCUAACGUUGGCCCCUGAUCGGGGUUGCGGACAGUGUCUGGUGGGUAGUUUGACUGGGGCGGUCUCCUCCUAAAGAGUAACGGAGGAGCACGAAGGUUGGCUAAUCCUGGUCGGACAUCAGGAGGUUAGUGCAAUGGCAUAAGCCAGCUUGACUGCGAGCGUGACGGCGCGAGCAGGUGCGAAAGCAGGUCAUAGUGAUCCGGUGGUUCUGAAUGGAAGGGCCAUCGCUCAACGGAUAAAAGGUACUCCGGGGAUAACAGGCUGAUACCGCCCAAGAGUUCAUAUCGACGGCGGUGUUUGGCACCUCGAUGUCGGCUCAUCACAUCCUGGGGCUGAAGUAGGUCCCAAGGGUAUGGCUGUUCGCCAUUUAAAGUGGUACGCGAGCUGGGUUUAGAACGUCGUGAGACAGUUCGGUCCCUAUCUGCCGUGGGCGCUGGAGAACUGAGGGGGGCUGCUCCUAGUACGAGAGGACCGGAGUGGACGCAUCACUGGUGUUCGGGUUGUCAUGCCAAUGGCACUGCCCGGUAGCUAAAUGCGGAAGAGAUAAGUGCUGAAAGCAUCUAAGCACGAAACUUGCCCCGAGAUGAGUUCUCCCUGACUCCUUGAGAGUCCUGAAGGAACGUUGAAGACGACGACGUUGAUAGGCCGGGUGUGUAAGCGCAGCGAUGCGUUGAGCUAACCGGUACUAAUGAACCGUGAGGCUUAACCUU